RNAcentral lists this transfer RNA (76 nucleotides) under Candidatus Fraserbacteria bacterium RBG_16_55_9. Its description in RNAcentral is "tRNA-Asn". It matches the Rfam family "tRNA". From Rfam's summary of the family: Transfer RNA (tRNA) molecules are approximately 80 nucleotides in length. Their secondary structure includes four short double-helical elements and three loops (D, anti-codon, and T loops). Lineage: Bacteria; Candidatus Fraseribacteriota. The record is from RNAcentral.
UGCCCGGUAGCUCAGUUGGAAGAGCAGCCGGCUGUUAACCGGCGGGUCGUAGGUUCGAGUCCUACCCGGGCAGCCA